This 253-nucleotide ribosomal RNA is filed under the name uncultured bacterium. RNAcentral's name for it is "partial 16S ribosomal RNA". It matches the Rfam family "Bacterial small subunit ribosomal RNA", at positions 524 to 776 of the family's 1533-position model. The record is from RNAcentral.
UACGUAGGGUACAAGCGUUGUCCGGAAUUAUUGGGCGUAAAGGGCUCGUAGGCGGUCCGUCGCGUCGGGAGUGAAAACUCGGGGCUCAACCCCGAGCCUGCUUUCGAUACGGGCGGACUAGAGGUAGGUAGGGGAGAACGGAAUUCCUGGUGUAGCGGUGGAAUGCGCAGAUAUCAGGAGGAACACCGGUGGCGAAGGCGGUUCUCUGGGCCUUACCUGACGCUGAGGAGCGAAAGCGUGGGGAGCGAACAGG